UUUAGGCUCAAAACUUUUGGUAGACGAUAACAUAGAUUUGAUGACUCCAUCUACGUCAUGAAUUCCAGUUGUCCCCAUACUAUCUGUUGAAGAGAUGAGUCUUUCCCCAUGGAAUGGACUUGGCAUCCUUUUUAAAAUCAAUGGGCUGGGGCUCCCUAGGUGGUGCAGUGGUUGAGAAUCCGCCUUCCAAUGCAGGGAACACGGGUUCGAUCCCUGCUCCAGGAAGAUCCCACAUGCCAUGGAGCACCUAAGCCUGUGUGCCACAACUAUUGAGCCCAUGUGCUGCAACUGCUGAAGCCCACGUACCUAGAGCCUGAGCUCUGCUACAAGAGAAGCCACAGCAAUGAGGAGCCUGCUCACCACAACGAAGAGUAGCCCCCACUCACCGCAACUAAAGAAAGCCCGCGCACAGCAAAAAAAAAAAAAAAAAAAAUCAAUGGGCCAUAUAUGUUGGGUUUAUUUCUGUACUCUCAGUUCUGUUCCGUUGGUCUGUAUGCUACCUUUAUGCCAGUACCACAUUGUUUUGAUUACUCUAAGUUUGUAGUAAGUUUUGAAAUCCAGAAAUGUGAUUUCUCCAGCUCUGUUCUUCUUUUUCAGGAUAUUUUGGCUAUUUGGGGCCCCUUACAGCUCCAUAUAAAUUUGAGGAUUGGCUUUUCCAUUGCUGCAAAAAAGACUGUUAGAAUUUGAUAGGGGUUGUAUUGAAUCUGUAGAUCUCUUUGGUUAGUAUUGACUUUGAAACCAAGGGUAAUCAUCAGUUAGAUCCAUUAAACUUGUAACCUGCCUUCAGUAAUCAAGCUCGCUUUAACUCUUCCUAUAAAAAAAAUUCCAUGCCCUCCAAGUGUCCUGCAACCUAAACAAUAAGAUGUUUGCCCAAGUUGUUUUUCAGGAACUUGGAGUCAGCUAUGGCCAGUUGGAGCUGGUUAAGACCACCAGCAGGUGUCCACUUGAUGAACUUUUGAUGUCAGAGGGCCAAAAAUUCUGCCUCCAGAACAUGCUAACACUGCCUUUUUCUGAAUGUGUCCCAUGAAGAAGCCUGUAGCUUAGUUGCACCUGUGCAGAAUGACGAUUAUCUCACCUUCUUAUUUCCAGUCACCUUUCCCCAUGCUCCCCAUGCCUCAACUUUAUCCCAUAAAUAUCCCCAGCCCCUUGGCUUCAGAGCGGUGGACUUGAGAUUUGUUCUCCCAUCUCCUCACUUGGCUGCCCUGUGAAUAAACACUUUCUCUACUGCAAACCUCUGAAUCUCUGCAUUUGGCUUGCUGCUUGUCAACAAACGAACAUGGUUUGGUUCAGUAACAACAUCUUAACAAUAUAAGGCUUCCAGUCCAUGCACAGGUGAUGUCUUUCCAUUUAAUUGUCUUCUUUAAUUUCUUUCAGCAAUGUUUUUAGUUUUCAGCAUACUAGUCUUUUACCUCGGUUAAAUUAUUCUUAGAUUUUGG
This is a long non-coding RNA of Hippopotamus amphibius kiboko, 1436 nucleotides long. RefSeq lists it as uncharacterized. The record is from RefSeq and is a predicted model, not a curated record. Lineage: Eukaryota; Metazoa; Chordata; Mammalia; Artiodactyla; Hippopotamidae. The transcript has 3 exons.